AGUCGAGGAUCUUCGGCAAUGGGGGCAACCCUGACCGAGCGACGCCGCGUGGGCGACGAAGGCCUUCGGGUUGUAAAGCCCUGUCGAGGGGGAGAAAGGGGAAACCUUGAUCUAUCCCUGGAGGAAGCACGGGCUAAGUUCGUGCCAGCAGCCGCGGUAAGACGAACCGUGCGAACGUUGUUCGGAAUCACUGGGCUUAAAGGGCGCGUAGGCGGCCCGCCGCGUCCGGGGUGAAAGCCCACGGCUCAACCGUGGAACGGCCCCGGGUACGGGCGGGCUGGAGGGGGAUAGGGGCGUGCGGAACUGUGCGUGGAGCGGUGAAAUGCGUUGAUAUGCACAGGAACUCCGGUGGCGAAGGCGGCACGCUGGGUCCUUUCUGACGCUGAGGCGCGAAAGCCAGGGGAGCGAA
This 409-nucleotide ribosomal RNA is filed under the name uncultured Gemmata sp. RNAcentral's name for it is "bacterial SSU rRNA". It matches the Rfam family "Bacterial small subunit ribosomal RNA", at positions 353 to 772 of the family's 1533-position model. Lineage: Bacteria; Pseudomonadati; Planctomycetota; Planctomycetia; Gemmatales; Gemmataceae. The record is from RNAcentral.